GCCAUGCAGCUGCAGGACCCGCUGCAACGCACGGAUGGUGCUGGACUUGCAGGUGAGCUGGGCCGAGGGUGUCCUUGUGCCGGGGGUGCACGGCUGUGAGCGGGGCCGGGGACGAGGGUGGGCUCAGCUCGGCUGCUCUCCCCAGCCCGUGCCCGGCUCCCUGGCUCCGCGGAGGUUUUGCUGCUGGCUGCUCAAAGGCCCGACAAGAAUCUUACAGCAGCUGACAGAACCAGCCUAGCUCUCGCUCGGUUCAAAUCCCUCGAGGUGCCAAUCUGCAUUUCCAGGCACCUACGUACCUCUGCACGUCUCCCGUCGGGGCACUGAUCUGGCACAUCAACCUUCAGAUAAAACGGAUGUUCCCAGAUCUCAGCAGUUUCUGAAUGCUUUCACACGGCGGUGCGAGUCCCUGCCUAUCUGGGGGAGAGGUGCUCCAUCAGAGGUUGCCAACCUUUAUUAAACUCCUCUGUGUUGUGCUUGUGGCUGGAGGGCAGCCGGGCCAGGCCCCGUCUUGGUCUGCGCGUGGAAAAAGUCACUGCCUGGAGGUGCUGAGAGCCCGAAAAUGGGAGCAACCGGGUGAUGAGGGAUGCAUGGCCCACAUACAGCUCAGAUUUGAUGCUGCUCUCGCCGCAGCACUGUGCAGCGUUGGGCUGGGGCCAGCACCACACCGGCCACCGACCAGCGGGGGUCUGUGGGGACCGGCAGUGCCCGUGGGCAGGGUGUCAGAGGCAAGACCCAAACUUUUAUGCACUCUUUCUAAGUGCUAA
This 764-nucleotide long non-coding RNA is filed under the name Anser brachyrhynchus (Pink-footed goose). RNAcentral describes it as "lncRNA (ENSABRG00000011972.1)". The record is from RNAcentral. Lineage: Eukaryota; Metazoa; Chordata; Aves; Anseriformes; Anatidae.